CCUACGGGUGGCAGCAGUGAGGAAUAUUGGUCAAUGGACGAGAGUCUGAACCAGCCAAGUAGCGUGAAGGAUGACUGCCCCAUGGGUUGUAAACUUCUUUUAUAAAGGAAUAAAAUGAGGCACGUGUGCCUUAUUGCAUGUACUUGAUGAAUAAGGAUCGGCUAACUCCGUGCCAGCAGCCGCGGUAAUACGGAGGAUCCGAGCGUUAGCCGGAUUUAUUGGGUUUAAAGGGUGCGUAGACCGGUUGUUAAGUCAGUUGGGAAAGUGUGUGGAGCAACCGUGACAUAGCAAUUGAAACUGGCAGUAUUGAGUACAGGUGAGGUAGGCGGAAUUCGUAGUGUAGCGGUGAAAUGCUUAGAUAUCACGAAGAACCCCGAUUGCGAAGGCAGCUUAC
RNAcentral lists this ribosomal RNA (394 nucleotides) under uncultured bacterium. RNAcentral's name for it is "partial 16S ribosomal RNA". It matches the Rfam family "Bacterial small subunit ribosomal RNA", at positions 338 to 729 of the family's 1533-position model. The record is from RNAcentral.